RNAcentral lists this long non-coding RNA (1633 nucleotides) under Sorghum bicolor (sorghum). Its description in RNAcentral is "long non-coding RNA (SBIC_LNC008871)". The record is from RNAcentral. Lineage: Eukaryota; Viridiplantae; Streptophyta; Magnoliopsida; Poales; Poaceae.
CUCUUGAUGAUUCUGAUGUUGGCUUUGUCAAAUAAUGUCUUGAAUUUGUUGUUCCUGCAUAAACAAGCUAAGAGUACAAGUGGAACUAGUUAUGGAUAAAAUAUGUUCAUGUCAUGUCGUUUCCCCUUGCAACCGAGGCAUGUUGACGGUGUUUUGUAUGUGGAUUUCUAUGGUAUAUCCACCGUCAACAAGAUCCCCCAAGCUGAACCUUUGCUCGUCCCGAGCAAACAAUCAAACUUAGCCUCGGUGGAUCAGGUAUUGUUACUAUGUUCACAUUUCAAGAGUACCAUGUGUACAACAAAGUUCUUCUCCUUGCAUGAAAAAUUUAGCUAUGUAAACUUACCCCUAUUACCUUGGUCCCUUAUGGGGCUUAUGGCUUUUCCUUUGUCUUAGGUGGUUGAGAGACAGAACAGUUUGACUUGAGCACUAACUUUCUCAUUCGUAGCAAGUUUCAUAUCAGAGGUUUUGUGAUAGUUUCAAAAGAAAGCUUAAAUGUUCCUCUUAUGGUUCUCUCAUGUCACUCAAAUGGUGUAUGAUUCCUCACCAAGGCAUAUGGUAAGAGUUGCCUUCUCUAUUUCAUCCUAUUUCUAAAAGGCUUAUGUGGAGUUCAAGGUAGGGAUGAAAGGAGAUAGCAUACUUACUUUGCAUGUAUUGCGAAGUCAAAGCUCGGAUCCUUGAAGAGAAGUGUCAUACUCCCAGAUCAAGAUGUGCAAGUGUGAUAUAUGGUGGACUAGGUUGCUCCUUUAUUUGAUAGACUCUCUAUGUAUUGAGACAUGGCUAGCAUUUUUUUUUCUUCUUUUUUUUUAUAUAUGAGCUUUCAUGUGCUCAAUUUUCUUUUUCUGUGGACUUGCACAUGUCCAUCUUUUUAUUUCAUUUUGCCUAGCCUUUUGAUGUCUCAUUUACCAAAUAAUGCUUAGAGAGAUGUUCUAACAUUUAGAGUAUGGAGCAACCUAUUUAGUGCAUGCGAAAUACAUGUGGUUGCGUACUUCCAGUGUAGAAGCAGCAUAUAUAUAUGUGGUGUGUACGUGAUCUUGAUCUUAGGAGCAUGAAAAGUCUCUUAACAAGGGUCAACAAGACUUGACGACACUCAACACAAAGCAAAUAGCCUAUGUGGAAAGAUUGCAAUUAUGUAAAGUAGAUAUGGCUGUGGUAGGAAUUCAUCACCAUUGAGGAACAAUUAAGGUUUUGAUCAUUUUAAGAAUAAAUCUCUGAUAAUCAUGCAUGCUUAGAAAAAUAUUAUAGUAGCUCUUGUCUUACUAUCUCAUGUCCCACAACAACUUAGACUUAGUUCUAGCACUUGCAACCCACAAAGUUUUUAGGUUCAUGGCCGUUUAAGUGAGCUAAGUGAUCCAUACUUAGAGAAAUACUAAGUUGUAUACUAGGUACUAGAGAAACAUUAACAAGCAACUAGUCAUCAUUUCCAUGAGGGAUAUAAACAUACAUGAAGCAUAUAUGCUAAAGGGAAAUGCUAAUAAAUAUUUAUUAUUAUUAUUAUUUUUUUAAGUAAGAAUGAUAAAAUGUAUGAAAAUAAAUAGGAUAGAAUACUUACCUUAGUGGGGGAGAGGAUCUCCCCCAAGCUAGAUCUUCGCUCACUGUGGUGGCGGGAAAUUCUGGUACCAUCCAGCCCAGCGUU